Molecule: ribosomal RNA, 484 nt
Filed under: uncultured bacterium
Lineage: Bacteria
Description: partial 16S ribosomal RNA
Rfam family: Bacterial small subunit ribosomal RNA
Source: RNAcentral
AUUGAACGCUGGCGGCAGGCCUAACACAUGCAAGUCGAGCGGAUGAAGGGAGCUUGCUCCUGGAUUCAGCGGCGGACGGGUGAGUAAUGCCUAGGAAUCUGCCUGGUAGUGGGGGAUAACGUCCGGAAACGGGCGCUAAUACCGCAUACGUCCUGAGGGAGAAAGUGGGGGAUCUUCGGACCUCACGCUAUCAGAUGAGCCUAGGGCGGAUUAGCUAGUUGGUGGGGUAAAGGCCUACCAAGGCGACGAUCCGUAACCGGUCUGAGAGGAUGAUCAGUCACACUGGAACUGAGACACGGUCCAGACUCCUACGGGAGGCAGCAGUGGGGAAUAUUGGACAAUGGGCGAAAGCCUGAUCCAGCCAUGCCGCGUGUGUGAAGAAGGUCUUCGGAUUGUAAAGCACUUUUAGUUGGGAGGAAGGGCAGUAAGUUAAUACCUGGCUGUUUUGACGGUACCAACAGAAUAAGCACCGGCUAACUUCGUG